This 253-nucleotide ribosomal RNA is filed under the name uncultured bacterium. RNAcentral's name for it is "partial 16S ribosomal RNA". It matches the Rfam family "Bacterial small subunit ribosomal RNA", at positions 524 to 776 of the family's 1533-position model. The record is from RNAcentral.
UACGGGGGGAGCAAGCGUUGUUCGGAUUUACUGGGCGUAAAGGGCGCGUAGGCGGCGCAACAAGUCACUUGUGAAAUCUCCGGGCUUAACCCGGAGCGGCCAAGUGAUACUGUCGUGCUAGAGUGCGGAAGGGGCUACUGAAAUUCUCGGUGUAGCGGUGAAAUGCGUAGAUAUCGAGAGGAACACCUGCGGCGAAGGCGGGUAGCUGGGCCGACACUGACGCUGAGGCGCGAAAGCCAGGGGAGCGAACGGG